This 469-nucleotide unclassified non-coding RNA is filed under the name uncultured Scutellospora. RNAcentral describes it as "SSU rRNA". It matches the Rfam family "Eukaryotic small subunit ribosomal RNA", at positions 569 to 1044 of the family's 1831-position model. The record is from RNAcentral. Lineage: Eukaryota; Fungi; Glomeromycota; Glomeromycetes; Diversisporales; Gigasporaceae.
AGCAGCCGCGGUAAUUCCAGCUCCAAUAGCGUAUAUUAAAGUUGUUGCAGUUAAAAAGCUCGUAGUUGAAUUUCGGGAUCAGUUGAUCGGUCGUGCCUCGGUACGUACUGGUCAAAUUGAUUCCUACCUUCUGACGAACCACGAUGUCAUUAAUUUGGUGUCGCGGGAAAUCAGGACUGUUACUUUGAAAAAAUUAGAGUGUUUAAAGCAGGCUCGCGCUUGAAUACAUUAGCAUGGAAUAGUGAAAUAGGACGUUUGAUUCUAUUUUGUUGGUUUCUAGGAUCGACGUAAUGAUUAAUAGGGAUAGUUGGGGGCAUUAGUAUUCAAUUGUCAGAGGUGAAAUUCUUGGAUUUAUUGAAGACUAACUACUGCGAAAGCAUUUGCCAAGGAUGUUUUCAUUAAUCAAGAACGAAAGUUAGGGAUCGAAGACGAUCAGAUACCGUCGUAGUCUUAACCAUAAACUAUGACC